RNAcentral lists this ribosomal RNA (2113 nucleotides) under Escherichia coli. RNAcentral describes it as "bacterial LSU rRNA". It matches the Rfam family "Bacterial large subunit ribosomal RNA", at positions 1 to 2141 of the family's 2925-position model. Lineage: Bacteria; Pseudomonadati; Pseudomonadota; Gammaproteobacteria; Enterobacterales; Enterobacteriaceae. The record is from RNAcentral.
UUAAGCGACUAAGCGUACACGGUGGAUGCCCUGGCAGUCAGAGGCGAUGAAGGACGUGCUAAUCUGCGAUAAGCGUCGGUAAGGUGAUAUGAACCGUUAUAACCGGCGAUUUCCGAAUGGGGAAACCCAGUGUGAUUCGUCACACUAUCAUUAACUGAAUCCAUAGGUUAAUGAGGCGAACCGGGGGAACUGAAACAUCUAAGUACCCCGAGGAAAAGAAAUCAACCGAGAUUCCCCCAGUAGCGGCGAGCGAACGGGGAGCAGCCCAGAGCCUGAAUCAGUGUGUGUGUUAGUGGAAGCGUCUGGAAAGGCGCGCGAUACAGGGUGACAGCCCCGUACACAAAAAUGCACAUGCUGUGAGCUCGAUGAGUAGGGCGGGACACGUGGUAUCCUGUCUGAAUAUGGGGGGACCAUCCUCCAAGGCUAAAUACUCCUGACUGACCGAUAGUGAACCAGUACCGUGAGGGAAAGGCGAAAAGAACCCCGGCGAGGGGAGUGAAAAAGAACCUGAAACCGUGUACGUACAAGCAGUGGGAGCACGCUUAGGCGUGUGACUGCGUACCUUUUGUAUAAUGGGUCAGCGACUUAUAUUCUGUAGCAAGGUUAACCGAAUAGGGGAGCCGAAGGGAAACCGAGUCUUAACUGGGCGUUAAGUUGCAGGGUAUAGACCCGAAACCCGGUGAUCUAGCCAUGGGCAGGUUGAAGGUUGGGUAACACUAACUGGAGGACCGAACCGACUAAUGUUGAAAAAUUAGCGGAUGACUUGUGGCUGGGGGUGAAAGGCCAAUCAAACCGGGAGAUAGCUGGUUCUCCCCGAAAGCUAUUUAGGUAGCGCCUCGUGAAUUCAUCUCCGGGGGUAGAGCACUGUUUCGGCAAGGGGGUCAUCCCGACUUACCAACCCGAUGCAAACUGCGAAUACCGGAGAAUGUUAUCACGGGAGACACACGGCGGGUGCUAACGUCCGUCGUGAAGAGGGAAACAACCCAGACCGCCAGCUAAGGUCCCAAAGUCAUGGUUAAGUGGGAAACGAUGUGGGAAGGCCCAGACAGCCAGGAUGUUGGCUUAGAAGCAGCCAUCAUUUAAAGAAAGCGUAAUAGCUCACUGGUCGAGUCGGCCUGCGCGGAAGAUGUAACGGGGCUAAACCAUGCACCGAAGCUGCGGCAGCGACGCUUAUGCGUUGUUGGGUAGGGGAGCGUUCUGUAAGCCUGUGAAGGUGUACUGUGAGGUAUGCUGGAGGUAUCAGAAGUGCGAAUGCUGACAUAAGUAACGAUAAAGCGGGUGAAAAGCCCGCUCGCCGGAAGACCAAGGGUUCCUGUCCAACGUUAAUCGGGGCAGGGUGAGUCGACCCCUAAGGCGAGGCCGAAAGGCGUAGUCGAUGGGAAACAGGUUAAUAUUCCUGUACUUGGUGUUACUGCGAAGGGGGGACGGAGAAGGCUAUGUUGGCCGGGCGACGGUUGUCCCGGUUUAAGCGUGUAGGCUGGUUUUCCAGGCAAAUCCGGAAAAUCAAGGCUGAGGCGUGAUGACGAGGCACUACGGUGCUGAAGCAACAAAUGCCCUGCUUCCAGGAAAAGCCUCUAAGCAUCAGGUAACAUCAAAUCGUACCCCAAACCGACACAGGUGGUCAGGUAGAGAAUACCAAGGCGCUUGAGAGAACUCGGGUGAAGGAACUAGGCAAAAUGGUGCCGUAACUUCGGGAGAAGGCACGCUGAUAUGUAGGUGAAGCGACUUGCUCGUGGAGCUGAAAUCAGUCGAAGAUACCAGCUGGCUGCAACUGUUUAUUAAAAACACAGCACUGUGCAAACACGAAAGUGGACGUAUACGGUGUGACGCCUGCCCGGUGCCGGAAGGUUAAUUGAUGGGGUCAGCGCAAGCGAAGCUCUUGAUCGAAGCCCCGGUAAACGGCGGCCGUAACUAUAACGGUCCUAAGGUAGCGAAAUUCCUUGUCGGGUAAGUUCCGACCUGCACGAAUGGCGUAAUGAUGGCCAGGCUGUCUCCACCCGAGACUCAGUGAAAUUGAACUCGCUGUGAAGAUGCAGUGUACCCGCGGCAAGACGGAAAGACCCCGUGAACCUUUACUAUAGCUUGACACUGAACAUUGAGCCUUGAUGUGUAG